UACGAAGGGUGCAAGCGUUACUCGGAAUCACUGGGCGUAAAGCGUGCGUAGGCGGUUGGUUAAGUCUGCUGUGAAAGCCCUGGGCUCAACCUGGGAACUGCAGUGGAUACUGGCCAGCUAGAGUGUGAUAGAGGAUGGUGGAAUUCCCGGUGUAGCGGUGAAAUGCGUAGAGAUCGGGAGGAACACCAGUGGCGAAGGCGGCCAUCUGGAUCAACACUGACGCUGAGGCACGAAAGCGUGGGGAGCGAACAGG
This 253-nucleotide ribosomal RNA is filed under the name uncultured bacterium. RNAcentral describes it as "partial 16S ribosomal RNA". It matches the Rfam family "Bacterial small subunit ribosomal RNA", at positions 524 to 776 of the family's 1533-position model. The record is from RNAcentral.